AACGAACGCUGGCGGCAUGCCUAACACAUGCAAGUCGAACGGAUGGUUUCGGCCAUCAGUGGCGCACGGGUGAGUAACGCGUGGGAAUCUGCCCAGCAGUGGGGGAUAACCUCUGGAAACGGAGGCUAAUACCGCAUACGCCCCUCGGGGGAAAGGCUUGCUGCUGCUGGAGGAGCCCGCGUCGGAUUAGGUAGUUGGUGGGGUAACGGCCUACCAAGCCUGUGAUCCGUAGCUGGUCUGAGAGGAUGAUCAGCCACACUGGGACUGAGACACGGCCCAGACUCCUACGGGAGGCAGCAGUGGGGAAUAUUGGACAAUGGGGGCAACCCUGAUCCAGCAAUGCCGCGUGAGUGAUGAAGGCCUUCGGGUUGUAAGCUCUUCGCCCACGACGAUGAUGACGGUAGUGGGAGAAGAAGCCCGGCUAACUCGUG
RNAcentral lists this ribosomal RNA (431 nucleotides) under uncultured bacterium. RNAcentral's name for it is "bacterial SSU rRNA". It matches the Rfam family "Bacterial small subunit ribosomal RNA", at positions 29 to 507 of the family's 1533-position model. The record is from RNAcentral.